Cinara cedri is the source of this 295-nucleotide non-coding RNA. The record is from the annotation of a GenBank genome assembly. Lineage: Eukaryota; Metazoa; Arthropoda; Insecta; Hemiptera; Aphididae.
AUGUAUACAAAUUCCGUUCCGUUCUAUACUUAUUAAUAUCGUAUCCUUUCUAAUAAAUCAACUCUCGGGGUAAAAAAUUAUAUUAUCAAUUUCCCCUGCGCCCUCGACCCCUCCCCUACCCGCGCGCGCACAUUAUAGGCCGUCACGCGACCGCGAUCACCGCGCGUUGUAUAAUACGACUCUCUGUAUAUACGUAUACAAUGCAAUAUUCUAUGCAUAUAUAUAUAUAUAUAAUGCGUAUUAUAUACAUAGUAUCGGUUUAUUGUUAUUAUAUUACGUAUAGAGAACCGUCAGG